RNAcentral lists this transfer RNA (67 nucleotides) under Alouatta macconnelli. RNAcentral's name for it is "tRNA-Thr". It matches the Rfam family "tRNA". Rfam says of the family: Transfer RNA (tRNA) molecules are approximately 80 nucleotides in length. The record is from RNAcentral. Lineage: Eukaryota; Metazoa; Chordata; Mammalia; Primates; Atelidae.
GUCUUUGUAGUAUAACAUAAUACUCUGGUCUUGUAAACCAGAAAUGGAGAACUUUCUCCCCAAGACA